RNAcentral lists this unclassified non-coding RNA (542 nucleotides) under Nagrajchalara insignis. Its description in RNAcentral is "Chalara insignis sequence contains ITS1, 5.8S rRNA gene, ITS2, 28S rRNA gene". The stretch from base 215 to 368 matches the Rfam family "5.8S ribosomal RNA". Lineage: Eukaryota; Fungi; Ascomycota; Leotiomycetes; Helotiales. The record is from RNAcentral.
UAGAGGAAGUAAAAGUCGUAACAAGGUUUCCGUUGGUGAACCAGCGGAAGGAUCAUUACAGAGAUCGUGCCCUCUACGGGUAGACCUCCCACCCUGUGUUUAUACUAUUGUUGCUUUGGCGGGCUGCCCUCGGCUUCGGCUGAGGUGCGCCUGUCAGAGAACACCCCCCAACUCUGUGUUUUACUAUUGUCCGAAUAUUAUUUAAAUACGUUAAAACUUUCAACAACGGAUCUCUUGGUUCUGGCAUCGAUGAAGAACGCAGCGAAAUGCGAUAAGUAAUGUGAAUUGCAGAAUUCAGUGAAUCAUCGAAUCUUUGAACGCACAUUGCGCCCCUUGGUAUUCCGGGGGGCAUGCCUGUUCGAGCGUCAUUUCAACACUCAAGCUUAGGCUUGGUAUUGGGCUAUGCCAGCCGGUUGGAUGGCUUGCCUUAAAAUCAGUGGCGGUGCCACCGAGCUCUACGCGCAGUAGUUAUUUUUCUCGCGAUUGGGCCUUGGUGGUUGCUAGCCAGUAACCCUAAUUUACUAUGGGUUGACCUCGGAUCA